ACCAACCCUUGACAUCCUAGGACCGGCCCAGAGAUGGGUCUUUCACUUCGGUGACCUAGUGACAGGUGCUGCAUGGCUGUCGUCAGCUCGUGUCGUGAGAUGUUCGGUUAAGUCCGGCAACGAGCGCAACCCACAUCCUUAGUUGCCAGCAGUUCGGCUGGGCACUCUAGGGAAACUGCCCGUGAUAAGCGGGAGGAAGGUGUGGAUGACGUCAAGUCCUCAUGGCCCUUACGGGUUGGGCUACACACGUGCUACAAUGGCAGUGACAAUGGGUUAAUCCCAAAAAACUGUCUCAGUUCGGAUUGGGGUCUGCAACUCGACCCCAUGAAGUCGGAAUCGCUAGUAAUCGCGUAACAGCA
Molecule: ribosomal RNA, 359 nt
Filed under: Ruegeria atlantica
Lineage: Bacteria; Pseudomonadati; Pseudomonadota; Alphaproteobacteria; Rhodobacterales; Roseobacteraceae
Description: bacterial SSU rRNA
Rfam family: Bacterial small subunit ribosomal RNA
Source: RNAcentral